NNNNNNNNNNNNNNNNNNNNNNNNNNNNNNNNNNNNNNNCCCCCACGUGCCCAGCCCCUGCGCCCGGGCUGCUUGGGUGGUCGCGACGUGCCCCCGUGUCACGACAUGCCCAGUGUCACGCUGUGCCCUGGUGGCCCUGCCGAGCCUUUCCCCAUGCCCCGUGUCACGAUGUGCCCGGUGUUGUGCCAUGUCCCAUGUCACUCCGUGCCCCGUGUCACCCCGUGUCAUGCCAUGUCGCACCAUCCCGCGUCACGCCGUGUCCCAUGUCAUGCCGUGUCGCCAUGCCACACCAUGCCCCGUGUCAUGCUGUGUUGUCCCAUGCCAUGCCCUGUGUCACGCCAUGCCCCAUGUCAUGCCACAUCCUGUGUGGCACUGUGCCAUGCCACAUCCCAUGUCACGCCGUGUCAUGCCGUGCCCUCCUCACACCAUGUCACGCCAUGUCCUCCGUCACACUGUGUCACACCCUGUCACGACACAUCCCGUGUCACACCAUGUCACGCCGUGUCCCCUAUCACCCCCUGUCACGCCAUGUCAUGCCACAUCCCAUGUCAUGCUGUGUCACCCCGUGUCACACUGUGCCCCUCUCACGCUGUGUCACGCCGUGUCACACCAUGUCCUCUGUCACACUGUCACACUGUGUCAUGCCAUGUCACACCCUGUCACGACACGUCCCAUGUCAUGCCGUGUCACGCCGUGUCCCCAUCACCCCAUGUCAUGCCGUGUCACGCCAUGUCAUGCCACAUCCCAUGUCACGCCGUGUCACCCUGUGUCACACUGUGCCCCUCUCACGCCGUGUCACGCCGUGUCCCCUAUCACCCCAUGUCAUGCCAUGUCAUGCCGUGUCACGCGAUGUCAUGCCACAUCCCAUGUCGUGCCGUGUCACACCACGUCACGCCGUGUCACACUGUGCCCCUCUCAUGCUGUGUCACGCCGUGUCAUGCCAUGUCAUGCCAUGUCACGCCCUGUCACCCCCUCUCACACCGUGUCACACCAUGUCACGCCCUGUCACCCCUUCUCACGCCGUGUCACGCCGUGUCACGCCGUGUCACGCCAUGUCAUGCCACAUCCCAUGUCACGCUGUGUCACACCAUGUCACACUGUGCCCCUCUCACGCCACCACGCCGUGUCACGCCGUGUCACCCCAUGUCACCCCCUCUCACGCCGUGUCACGCCGUGUCUGUCACGCCGUGUCACGCCCUGUCACCGCCUCUCACGCCGCGUCACGCCGUGCCUGCAGCCCGCCGCCAUGCCGUUCAGCAGCACCCACAACAAGCACAAGCUGAAGUUCUCGGCGGAGGAGGAGUUCCCCGACCUCUCCAAGCACAACAACCACAUGGCCAAGGUGCUGACCCCCGCCCUCUACCAGCGCCUGCGCGACAAGGAGACCCCCAGCGGCUUCACGCUCGACGACGUCAUCCAGACCGGCGUCGACAACCCCGGUGCGUGUCCCCAGGGCACCCCCAGUCCGUUGUCCCCAAGCGCCAUUGUCCCCAAGCGCCAUUGUCCCCAAGCGCCGU
RNAcentral lists this long non-coding RNA (1517 nucleotides) under Anser cygnoides (Swan goose). Its description in RNAcentral is "lncRNA (ENSACDG00005008464.1)". The record is from RNAcentral. Lineage: Eukaryota; Metazoa; Chordata; Aves; Anseriformes; Anatidae.